AUACGACUCUCGGCAACGGAUAUCUAGGCUCUCGCAUCGAUGAAGAACGUAGCAAAAUGCGAUACUUGGUGUGAAUUGCAGAAGCCCGUGAAUCAUCGAGUUUUUGAACGCAAGUUGCGCCCGAAGCCAUU
This 131-nucleotide ribosomal RNA is filed under the name Galium platygalium. RNAcentral's name for it is "5.8S ribosomal RNA". It matches the Rfam family "5.8S ribosomal RNA", at positions 1 to 127 of the family's 154-position model. From Rfam's summary of the family: 5.8S ribosomal RNA (5.8S rRNA) is a component of the large subunit of the eukaryotic ribosome. Lineage: Eukaryota; Viridiplantae; Streptophyta; Magnoliopsida; Gentianales; Rubiaceae. The record is from RNAcentral.